GGCGGGUAGCGGGGUGGGACUCCGCGUCGGGGAGAGGCAGCCUGCGCAGGGCCGAGGGGCGGCCGGGAGCCGGGCUCCGGGAUUGCUGCGGGGGACGGCAGUUGCGCCACAGCGUCGGUGUCCUCGUACCGGCGCCGUGCCCUUGGAACGAGGGCAGGACCGCGGGCAGCGCCGGGCCAGCGCGGAGCCCCUCCACGCUGCUGCGCUCCUGCGUCCCUGGCCCUCGGGCCAGGGUGUGCCCUCAGGAGGAUGGGAUAGAGAUAAAGUGUGAACUUACAAACCUGGCAGAGAGCAGGCACCUGGGAUGCAGUGGGCUGGUGGAAGAAAGAUGGCCUCAGUACUCCCAUCGAAGUAACAGUAUGUUCCAGGAUGCAGUUGGAAAUUAGGUUGGAAUGGAUGGGAUCUAACAGGAACAGCUCUUGGAAGGAUGGGCUAUCUCAUUAGUACCUUACAACUUCCAAUGCAUUGUCACAUAUUGGAGUUGGGACCAGGGUGAGGCAAAAGAGGCCUUUAAGAGUCAUGCAAGUACACUGGCCUCUGUCCUGCCACAUGCCUUAUCUCACGUAAUACCCAUCUGACCCUUGUCUGGCUAUUUAGUUGGUUUCGGGGUGGAGAGAGCAGGGGAGGUAAGGAGCAGAGAUGGGAGAGAGGACAAGCUGGCAGAGACUCUUUCUCUAUGAAAAGCCUUGCCUGAGUCACUCCUUCCCUCACACUUGCAUGUUACUCCAUCCAAACGAAACCAGCCCCUUUUGUGACUUCACAAAAUCUAUACUCACACUCCCUGUCACUGAACUCCAGGUCCAGAAAACUAUGCCCCCUGUGUUUGGCUUUAGGCCAAUGUCGUGAGAUAUUCCACACAGACAUGUGCUGUAUCUUCUUUUAAAUGUUGUGACUUUUGACCCCACAAAUCUAGAAUUUGUCAUCUUUCAAAAAGAGUUCUGUGAUUUCUUUUUUUUUUUUUUUUUUUUUUUGAGGCAAGAGUCAAACUUUUUUUCCUCCUUGAAUUCCUAAGUGCUUGCUGGUAAGAAGGAUGCAGUUUUAAAGAACCCCAGCUUCUCCAUUCCUCACACCUGUAUACUGAUGACUUGGAGACUAACAUCUUCCAUUGCUAGGCUUAGGAAUGAAGUUUUGCCUCUGAAGGGAGUUGUGCAUUUGUAACUGUCAUUCAACCAAUGGUGAAAGAGUCACUGGUCCAGGGCCAAUGUGCUCUGCUGCCUCCGGGAAAGCAUAAGACAUCAGUCUGUGGAAGAGGGCACUGGUGGUUUCCUUCCCUCCAAGAGGACAUAGUUCAGUUGGGUACAUACUGCAUUUCCCAGAUUUUGAAUACACACGUUUUAAGGCUUCCAAAAUCAGGUAUCUUUUGACAUGGUAAUUCCUUUUCCUCCCCCAAUUUUUAAUUUGGUAAAUAUGUACAAUUUAUAUGCUCUUAACAUUUUUAAAUUUGAAAAUCGAGAGCAAAAUCUUAUAGCCUAAACAACAGGAGUGGUAAGAAUUUGGUGGUGGUGAACAACCAGAAAAUCUGGAGUCCCAGCCAUGUCCACUGCUAGGACCCAGAGAAGCCUAGCCUGGACUGGCCCAGCUGCCGGGCUGAUGAGUGUGACCUCUGAGGUGAUAAAAUAACACCCAUGUGGGAGGAAUGGCCAAUAAGAAGGACAUGCCAGCCCCACCUUAGAAAAAGGCAUGAGUAGAAAUGAAGGUGCUAUAUCACUAAAAAUGAUGACAUUGGGCCCCAAGCAUCCGAUUUUCUCUGGCACCUGGCUAAGACAGGCAUAGAGGACAGGGCCGGUUGGGGUGUAGUCAGAGACACCCUCCCUAUUCUGUGGCAUUGCUUUGGCCUGUAGCAAAGUGUUAAAAUGGGACUCUUCCUACUUCAGUUUCAACUGAGUUCCCAAGACAAUCAAUGCCAGCUACUCCCACUUCCAAAAUGCGGAACACAAGAGCUCCUUGAAAAUGAUUUUGUGUACCUUCUCCAGCCACUGUCCACCUCAAGGAAAGUGCAUGGAUUGAUACAGAAGAGGACUCAAAGUUGGAGUUCUAGGAUUGAGUUGUCAACAUUGUGAUCAGUUUUCCUCCCCAUACCAUGGAGAGAGGACAUGCCUUGCUCCUGUCUCUUAAGUCCAGUGACUAGGGCUUACCUGAGACCACACACAGAGCUUGAUAUCUGUCCCUGGAGCUUGUGGAACACAGGAGACUGCCCACUGGUGAGCAGCUGGCUGAAGAGGCCUAUUGUAGAGGACAUUUCCAUUUGGAAGUCACUCCCUCUUGCCUAUAUCAUGGCAAGGGAGUGUGUGGCAGAUUGAGUUUCCUGGAAGAUGACUCUGAGGGGGAAGAUUAGCAUGAGGAAGGUUUAUUAGAGUGCUCUUGGGAUAGCACCCAGAGGAGGAAAGGAGAAGAAGCAGGAUCAGAGAGAAGUGGACCCCCACUGCCCGGAUCUGAAGCUGGGAUGGCCCUUCAGAGUUGUCCCAAGGCAGAGUCAAGGGGCCUUUCUACCCCUGCCAUAGAUUGGUCAUUGUUCCUGGCUGACCUUGGGGAAAGGCUGUGACCUUGAGCAACAGCAUCUGGGGGAAUGUGUCCUUCAUUCCUAAGGGGAGAUCUGGGCAGGGAUCACAGGGUCCAGUAUGGCAUAUGGCAUGCAGGUACCAGAUGUGGAAACUGCAAGAAGAAUAACCACCUAGGGCCAGGCACAGUGGCUCACAUCUGUAAUCCCAGCACUUUGGGAGGCUGAGGCAGGCAGAUAACUUGAGGUCAGGAGUUCGAGACCAGCCUGGCCAACAUGGUGAAACCCUGUUUCUACUAAAAAUACAAAAAUCAGCCAGACAUGGUGGUGGGUGCCUGUAAUCCCAGCUACUCAGGAGGCUGAAGCAGGAGAAUCACUUGAACCUGGGAGGCAGAGGUUGCAGUGAGCCGAGAUCACACCACUGCACUCCAGCCUGGGCAACAGAGACUCCACCUCAAAAAAAAAAAAAAAAAAAGAAUAACCACCUAGAAUUAAAGGAAAAAAAAAUUUAGAGAUGAGGGUCUUGCUAUGUUGCCCAGGCUGGAGUGCAGUGGCUAUUCACAGGUGUGAUCAUGGCACAUUGUAGCCUUGAACUCCUGGGCUCAAGAACUUCUCCUGCUUCAGCCUCCCAAGUAGCCACUGUGCCCAGCAAUUUUUAAGGGGACUCUGUCCACAUGGGCUUCUUCAAAAAGACCUUGGCAGAAAAAGGUGGAGGCCCAACUGGAGAUAGAGGCUGAAGGAGGACCAUAAGUGACCAGCUGAAGGAGAGGCCCCUUUGGACUCUUGAAGACUGCAGUCCCAGGGGACCAAGAGGGUUCCAUACAAGGUGACAAAGGUACCAAAGAGGGAAGCACCAGCCAUGGCCAGGGAAGGUCAAAGAGAUACUUCAUCCAUGCUAGAAACAAAGGAUGGAAGGAGGAUGGAAGGAGGGA
RNAcentral lists this long non-coding RNA (3429 nucleotides) under Homo sapiens (human). RNAcentral describes it as "HSALNT0302246". Lineage: Eukaryota; Metazoa; Chordata; Mammalia; Primates; Hominidae. The record is from RNAcentral.